This 497-nucleotide ribosomal RNA is filed under the name uncultured bacterium. RNAcentral describes it as "partial 16S ribosomal RNA". It matches the Rfam family "Bacterial small subunit ribosomal RNA", at positions 28 to 507 of the family's 1533-position model. The record is from RNAcentral.
GAUGAACGCUGGCGGCGUGCCUAAUACAUGCAAGUCGAGCGAACGGACGAGACUCUUGCUUCUCUGAUGUUAGCGGCGGACGGGUGAGUAACACGUGGCUAACCUACCUAUAAGACUGGGAUAACUUCGGGAAACCGGAGCUAAUACCGGUUAAUAUUUUGAACCGCAUGGUUCAAAAGUGAAAGACGGUCUUGCUGUCACUAAUAGAUGUAUCCGCGCUGCAUUAGGUAGUUGGUAAGGGAACGGCUUACCAAGGCAACGAUGCAUAGCCGACCUGUGAGGGUGGACCGGCACACUUGAACUGAGACACGGUCCAAACUCCUAAGGGAAGCAGCAGUAGGGAAACUUCCGCAAAGGGCGAAAGCCUGACGGAGGAACGCCGGGGUGUGGAUAAAGGUCUUCGGAUCGUAAAACUCUGUUAUUAGGGAGGAACAGAUGUGUAAGUAACUGUGCACAUCUUGACGGUACCAAAUCAGAAAGCCACGGCUAACUACGUG